RNAcentral lists this ribosomal RNA (497 nucleotides) under uncultured bacterium. RNAcentral describes it as "partial 16S ribosomal RNA". It matches the Rfam family "Bacterial small subunit ribosomal RNA", at positions 28 to 507 of the family's 1533-position model. The record is from RNAcentral.
GAUGAACGCUGGCGGCGUGCCUAAUACAUGCAAGUCGAGCGAACAGACGAGGAGCUUGCUCCUCUGACGUUAGCGGCGGACGGGUGAGUAACACGUGGAUAACCUACCUAUAAGACUGGGAUAACUUCGGGAAACCGGAGCUAAUACCGGAUAAUAUAUUGAACCGCAUGGUUCAAUAGUGAAAGACGGUUUUGCUGUCACUUAUAGAUGGAUCCGCGCCGCAUUAGCUAGUUGGUAAGGUAACGGCUUACCAAGGCGACGAUGCGUAGCCGACCUGAGAGGGUGAUCGGCCACACUGGAACUGAGACACGGUCCAGACUCCUACGGGAGGCAGCAGUAGGGAAUCGUCCGCAAUGGGCGAAAGCCUGACGGAGCAACGCCGCGUGAGUGAUGAAGGUCUUCGGAUCGUAAAACUCUGUUAUUAGGGAAGAACAAAUGUGUAAGUAACUAUGCACGUCUUGACGGUAACUAAUCAGAAAGCCACGGCUAACUACGUG